GCAAACGGGUGGUAAACAUUACCUAAGGCUAAAUAUUGGCGAGAGACCGAUAGCGAACAAGUACCGUGAGGGAAAGAUGAAAAGAACUUUGAAAAGAGAGUUAAACAGUACGUGAAAUUGUUGAAAGGGAAACGAUUGAAGUCAGUCGUGCCGGCGCGAAAUCAGCUUGACCGUAGGAGAUCACAGGCUGUGGCGAGCCUCAAAACCGCCACAACUUGUGCUCCCCUGUCGGCCUCGUGCACUUUCGUGUCGGCUGGUUAACAUCAAUUUCGAUCGUCAUAAAAAGGCUGGAGGGAUGUGGCUCCUUCGGGAGUGUUAUAACCUUUGGCGGAAUGUGGUGGUCGGGAUUGAGGCUUGCAACGAAUACCUUCAGGGCUGUCCCACCUGGCCUCUCGUCGGCAUCCUGGCGACGACAGCUUGCUUGACGUUGUUAGGAUCAGCUUUCGAACAGGCUAGAGUGUGAGCAAAUUCGUUAAGGAUGUUAACGUAAUGGCUUUAAACGACCCGUCUUGAAACACGGACCAAGGAG
Molecule: ribosomal RNA, 529 nt
Filed under: uncultured Entrophosporaceae
Lineage: Eukaryota; Fungi; Glomeromycota; Glomeromycetes; Entrophosporales; Entrophosporaceae
Description: LSU rRNA
Rfam family: Eukaryotic large subunit ribosomal RNA
Source: RNAcentral